GGUUUAAUUCGAAGCAACGCGAAGAACCUUACCAAGUCUUGACAUCCCGGUGACCGGACAGUAAUGUGUCCUUUUCUUCGGAACACCGGUGACAGGUGGUGCAUGGUUGUCGUCAGCUCGUGUCGUGAGAUGUUGGGUUAAGUCCCGCAACGAGCGCAACCCUUAUCCCCAGUAGCCAGCGGUUCGGCCGGGCACUCUGAGGAGACUGCAGGGAUAACCUGGA
This 223-nucleotide ribosomal RNA is filed under the name uncultured bacterium. RNAcentral's name for it is "partial 16S ribosomal RNA". It matches the Rfam family "Bacterial small subunit ribosomal RNA", at positions 943 to 1167 of the family's 1533-position model. The record is from RNAcentral.